GACGAACGCUGGCGGCGUGCUUAACACAUGCAAGUCGAGCGAUGAAGCACCUUCGGGUGUGAAUUAGCGGCGAACGGGUGAGGAACACGUGAAGAAUCUGCCUUCAACUCUGGGAUAACUCCGGGAAACCGGGGCUAAUACCGGAUAUGAGCCUUGAUCGCAUGAUCGGGGCUGGAAAGUUUUUCGGUUGAAGAUGACUUCGCGGCCUAUCAGCUUGUUGGUGAGGUAAUGGCUCACCAAGGCGACGACGGGUAGCCGGCCUGAGAGGGCGACCGGCCACACGGGGACUGAGACACGGCCCAUACUCCUACGGGAGGCAGCAGUGGGGAAUAUUGGGCAAUGGAGGAAACUCUGACCCAGCGACGCCGCGUGAGGGAUGAAGGCCUUCGGGUUGUAAACCUCUUUCAGUAGGGAAGAAGCGAAAGUGACGGUACCUACAGAAGAAGCACCGGCUAACUAUGUGCCAGCAGCCGCGGUAA
RNAcentral lists this ribosomal RNA (479 nucleotides) under uncultured bacterium. RNAcentral's name for it is "partial 16S ribosomal RNA". It matches the Rfam family "Bacterial small subunit ribosomal RNA", at positions 28 to 523 of the family's 1533-position model. The record is from RNAcentral.